AUAUGGAGAAGCCUCAUCACGAUCUGCUUUAACUUUCAUUCCACCAGUAACUCUCGCAAUGGUUUCCCUGCAGAAAAAUAUAUUAAUUUUUACGUACGAAACAUUCAAUUAUUUACCAAGUUCAAAAAUUUUUCGUUAAAUAUACCUUCCAGAAAGAUCGGUUACAUGAACGAAAGUAUCGUUAAAGCUCGCAAAAAUGUGAGCAACGCCAAAAACAACUUCACCUUCACGAAGUUGUGGUCCAAGAGAUACUUGGACCUCUUCCUUUUGUACCUUUCCUCUUUUUGGCGGCAUUUCUACCUUUAAGUUGAACGUACUAAAAUUCGCUUGUCCAACACGACCAACGCU
RNAcentral lists this unclassified non-coding RNA (348 nucleotides) under Bombus terrestris (buff-tailed bumblebee). Its description in RNAcentral is "misc RNA ENSBTSG00005026098.1". The record is from RNAcentral. Lineage: Eukaryota; Metazoa; Arthropoda; Insecta; Hymenoptera; Apidae.